GUGAAAAGAACAAAGUUUUGUCCAUCUUUUUUCAUCAUAGCCUAAAGUUAGAGAAGAGAAAGGAGAGGAAAAAGAUCUUGAAUGUUCGGUCACUUGGGGAAGAAAAUUGAAGGUAAGUUCAUAGUAGUUUGCUUCUAUCUUGAUGUUCAUGAGUUCUUCUUGAUUCUACCUUAACUCUUGAAGCAUAUUUUGGUUUUUGGUUGUGUUGUGAGCAUUUGGUCAUGAAUUCAAAUGAAGGAAAUGGUUGUUGUUUCAUUUUCUUUUGAUGAAAAAUGGAAGAUAUGUGAAGUUGAGCCAAACAAAUAAGCAUGCAUGUGCUUAGAUGCUAAGGGGAAAAAUCGGCUAAUAUGUUGUGCUUUAAAAUGAUGAAAUGGAGAUUAUACUUAAGUAAAAUCAUAGAUAUGUGAUGAUUGAUUGGUGAUAUACAUGUUUAAAUAACAAGCAUGCAAGUUAGGUGUGAAAGAGUGAUUUGGUAAAAAAUCCGCUUGGGACAGCAGCAGUAACGUGACUUUGGAAAAUCACCAUAAAUUGUGGGAGAUGAGUUAGAAGCUGCAUAAAUUAUGUAAUUAAAGCUUAAUGAGUCUAGUUUCAAAUGAAUAAACGAGAACAUAUUUUGAAUUCUGUACAAUGAGAAAUUUGAUUCGUAAUGAAGAGUGGUCAGAUUAGUCAAACAGUGAAACAUGAGAAACUUUGAGAAAAAUCUGGUAUUGAUUGGCCAAACCAAAAAUUCUGAAAAUUUUAUGGAUAUAAGAUAUGAGUCUAUUUUCAGGGAAAAUUAACGGCACUUGAUUUGGAGUUUCGUAUCUCCAGUUAUAAAUGAUUUAGUGACUGUUGCUCAGGAAGACAGCUUGCAGUGAAAUUAUGAUUAUGUGGUAAACAUUGACAAAAAUUUGUUAAUGAGUUGCUUAUUAAUUUCUUAUAAGCUUACUAUGAUCUGUAGGUGUGGUUGGCCAAAUAUUGUAAGGGGUUAAUACGUAGUUCGUAUUUGAAUAGUUAGAUUAACGUGUUAGUAAUCCAAUUGUAGGCAGUUCGUGUGUGGAUCUCGUCAGCAUAUCGUCACAAACGUGUGUGUAACUAACACCAUCUUUCUUAGUCUAGAUCGGCAAAAGUUGAAAAGCCGAAAUGCCGAAAAUUGAUAUUUUGUAGAUUUGCGAGUGUGCGAAUGCUCGUAAGGUAAAUCGAUUCAUGUUUUUGGUAAGCUGCAAUGUUUGGACUGCAAAGUGCAUGAUUUCUAUGCCCUCGAUAUUUUGGGCUUAAUGGGUCAAAAUUUGAAUGAUGGGCCAACGGGCCCAAUUCGGUAAGAACCCCCGGUACGUGAUUCUGUUAGUACGCCAAAAGUAGGAAUAUGCAUGAAAAAUCCUAAAAUAGAUAAAUUACUGAAAUACCUUUAAAAGUGGAAAAUUUACAGUUUUACCCCUAGGAUAUAAAUUACCGCAAUACCCCUAGGGUUAAAUUGACUUAAAUGCAUGUUUGACUGUUGUUAUUUACUGCAUGCCAUGUUGUUAUUAUCUGAUGCAUGGGAUUGGGAUAUUGACGAAGGAAGUACUGAAAGUGGCUUGUCCACGUACUGGAGGCUUUGCCUCAAUUUACUGUUAACUGAGCAGCAAGGCUGCAACUGUGGAGUGUUGGGCCGGGUAGGUUGAGCUAUUCCCCACAUAGAGUGUAGGGCUGGUACGGGUGGAGUGUAGUGGUUGGUGGGUUGAGUAGUCUCCCCAAAUGGGCUUGCAUAUGUUAUUGAUGUUGCAUGUAUUUUGAAAUGGGCCUAUGGGCCUUACUGUUAUCUUAAUAAGGGGCUAAGGCCCGGUUUAUUGUAAUCUGAAAAGGGUUCUGGUCCAGUACCACUGUUACCUGAAUGGGCUUAGGCCCAAUAGGCUUGAGCUGACUUGGGCUUUGAAUGGGUUCUCCUUACACACUGAGUUUCCCCAAACUCACCCUUUUUAUUUUCAUCCACGCAGGAAAUCCCCAACCAUAGUGGGCUUGGAGCUGUGAGGGAAUUCGGAGUGGCCACCCGUUCUGAAAGUUUGGUUUUCUUCUGGUGAACUGGACAUCCUAUUAUUUACGUUGAGGUUUGGGUUUUUAAAUGUAAUAAGGCCGCUUAAUUAUUUUUGAUGGUUUUUAAUAUGUAUUACUAAGAUAGGUAUUACUUAUUUUAAUUGUUGAAAUUGGAUAGCUUUAGGGCGCGUUUUCAAAAAAAAACAACAAUUGAUUUCAAAAUAACACGACAACAAGCAAAGCUUCCGCAAUGAAAGUAUUUUCCAAAAUUAAUCACUUUUCCUAAAACUGACUUAAUCAAAUCGGUUUCCUAGAAAUAUACAUGACGUUAAGGUGUGGCAAUGGCGGUGUGCAUGUCUAGGAUUGGAUCCGAAGGGAGCUUGGUACUUAAGUAGUCCGAUAGACUCACCUCCUCUUUUCUGGUUUCCUAUCUGGUGCACAGCUUCCAUUCACUUUAACCUAUAAUGAAAUUAUCUUUUAAAACACUAAGUAGGUUUUUCUGGAUCAAAAAUAUAAAAUGUUUUGACCGCUUCGAUGUGGCAUGUCGGAUCCGGCCAUAAUGUCUGGGCCGGGUUUGGGGUGUUACAAUGUCUUUGUGCUUGAUUUGAAUUGUAUUUGUGAUUUAUAAAUGUACGAUUGAAAUGAUUAUAUAUCCGACAAAGCCCGAUGAUUGGUAAUUUUUGAAAUAAAUGAUAAUACUCGUAAAGUGAUCAAUGACUAAAAUGUCAUUGCUGAGCUUGAAUUAAAUGUGAAAUUGUAAAUUACAUAAAUGCGUAACAUUAUGAGAUUGGAAAUAUAUCCAACAAUUUCUUGAUAAAUGCUAAAUCCCGUUUGAAUAAAUGAAAGUCGAUGGAUAAAGGUGAUUACCGAUAUGAAAUGUGAUCUUGCAUGUGUUGCAGAAAGGUUGUCCCGAAAGGGUAAUCUUUUGAUCUCAUUAUGGAAAGGAAAUGUACACCUUGUGUGUACCAUAUGAAAAGGGAUAGCUUCGGCUAUCGAAUGUCAAAAGGAAAGGUAUACUUUGUGUGUACCACAUGAAAAGGCUAUGUAUACUUUGUGUGUACUCUUAAAAAGGUGGACUUUGUGUGUACCAUUUGAAAAGGGAAUGUAUACUCUGUGUGUACCAUUUCAAAAGGAAAGGUAUACUUUGUUUAUACCAUUUGAAAAGGAAAUGUACACCUCAAGUGUACUUCUGGAAAAGGAAAUAUCCAUCGAUGUUUUCAAUGAUUCAACGGGUAAAAUUGUGACAUGAAAAGAAAAAAGAUUAUUCAUGUGUUCACUUGGAAAAUAUGAAAUGAUGUUACAUGAAAUAGAAUAUGUAAAUAUGAGAUGUUUAUAUGUGAAUAUGAGCGGUUUGACGAAUACAUUCAUCCAUGAAAAUAUAUUGCUACAGUUUGAGCGUAUCACCCGAGUGAUUAUUAGUACUUCAAUCGAUUAUUGAAUAAAGUUCUGACAAGAAAUAUACUGGAAAUUUAGAUGAAAUGAUAUGAAAUGUAUUUGAAAUACAUGAAAAUAAUUGACAUACAAGUUAUAUGAAUACAUGAGGUGGAAAAACAUAUGUAAAUCUGAAUAUGGAUGAGUUUGUAUAUGUGUUUAUUGUGGGUUACAUGAAUCAUAUGACUAACAUGGAUAAUGAGAAUGUGUGAUAGAGCUUGAGUACAAAUGGUAUAACUAUGCCUUGCAUGUUUAAUCUGAGUGAGAGUGGUUGGUAAGUUGAUUACCAAGUUAUACAGACUUACUAAGUAUUAUAUGCUUACUUUGUUGUAUUUUUCCCUGUUUUAUAGUAAAUCAAAAGCUCGCUGGAUUGGAAGCUCAGUAGAGACCACUCACACUAUCCAUCGUUCCAAUUUGGUAAAAAAAGGUAUAACAAUUGUAGUUAUAAUGGCAUGUAUAGGUUAAUAGACAAUGAUUAACAUGUAAAUACUUGAAAGUGACUAGCCAUUGGAAUGGCUAGCUAUAGACAUACCUUGGUGUUAUGUAUAAAAGUCUAUAUCAUGAUAUACAAGUUGAAAUGGAUAAUGAAUGAAUAAAUUAAGUUUGUAAUUUUGGCACAAUAUGCAUAAAUAUGAACAAGGAAAGUAGAUAGACAUGAAUAUAAAUUGUCAUUUGAGGUACCUACGAGUACAUUGGUUGGAUGUAGUUAUAUGACAUGUAUAAGACUUGAUUUUGAUAUGAAUUAACUAUCUUGAAAUGAGUUUAUCAAUACACAUAUGUGUUAGUGUAAAUGGAUAACAAGUUGGGUAAGAAAUAUAGCUUGGAAAAUAGCCUAUUUUCAUCCACAUGGUUAGACACACGGGCGUGUGUCUAGGCCGUGUGUGA
This 4308-nucleotide long non-coding RNA is filed under the name Gossypium barbadense (sea-island cotton). RNAcentral's name for it is "long non-coding RNA (GBAR_LNC006582)". The record is from RNAcentral. Lineage: Eukaryota; Viridiplantae; Streptophyta; Magnoliopsida; Malvales; Malvaceae.